CGUCCUCGAACUGGAUGAGGAGCAGGAUGGGUGCCAGGUCCCCUCAUCAGAGAGACUGCACCUGACAUUCUCUCCUGGGGCCACAUGAGCAUUCACCUCUCAGCACAUCGUGGAGACGAAGCAGAGCCCAGUGUACACCCCACACCUCAGAUGACCCCAGCUGGCGGAGCCAUCGGGAAACAGCCAGGGAGCUGCUCCAGCUGAGCCUGUGGACACGGAUGCUGGAGCCACCCAGAGAGAAGGCUGGCACACAGGGGCCUGGCCUAUCCAGGAGCCCCAUGAUCCUCCCUGCCCAGGACCUGCCAGGCUCUGCCAGCUCUGGUCAAUGCCAGAAAACAUCUGGGCCCUGGUCAGCUG
Molecule: long non-coding RNA, 357 nt
Filed under: Urocitellus parryii (Arctic ground squirrel)
Lineage: Eukaryota; Metazoa; Chordata; Mammalia; Rodentia; Sciuridae
Description: lncRNA (ENSUPAG00010009415.1)
Source: RNAcentral